This 251-nucleotide ribosomal RNA is filed under the name uncultured bacterium. Its description in RNAcentral is "partial 16S ribosomal RNA". It matches the Rfam family "Bacterial small subunit ribosomal RNA", at positions 524 to 776 of the family's 1533-position model. The record is from RNAcentral.
UACGUAGGGUGCGAGCGUUGUCCGGAAUUAUUGGCGUAAAGGGCGCGUAGGCGGUCAGCACAAGUCAGUUGUGAAAUCUCCGGGCUUAACUCGGAAAGUCACUGAUACUGUGCGACUAGAGUGCAGAAGGGGCAACUGGAAUUCUUGGUGUAGCGGUGAAAUGCGUAGAUAUCGAGAGGAACACCUGCGGCGAAGGCGGGUUGCUGGGCUGACACUGACGCUGAUGCGCGAAAGCCAGGGAGGCGAACGGG